Molecule: ribosomal RNA, 253 nt
Filed under: uncultured bacterium
Lineage: Bacteria
Description: partial 16S ribosomal RNA
Rfam family: Bacterial small subunit ribosomal RNA
Source: RNAcentral
UACGGGGGGAGCAAGCGUUGUUCGGAUUUACUGGGCGUAAAGGGCGCGUAGGCGGCGCAACAAGUCACUUGUGAAAUCUCCGGGCUUAACUCGGAGCGGCCAAGUGAUACUGUCGUGCUAGAGUGCGGAAGGGGCAACUGGAAUUCUCGGUGUAGCGGUGAAAUGCGUAGAUAUCGAGAGGAACACCUGCGGCGAAGGCGGGUUGCUGGGCCGACACUGACGCUGAGGCGCGCAAGCGUGGGGAGCGUACAGG